This 254-nucleotide ribosomal RNA is filed under the name uncultured bacterium. Its description in RNAcentral is "partial 16S ribosomal RNA". It matches the Rfam family "Bacterial small subunit ribosomal RNA", at positions 524 to 776 of the family's 1533-position model. The record is from RNAcentral.
UACAGAGGGGGCAAGCGUUAUUCGGAAUUAUUGGGCGUAAAGGGCGCGUAGGCGGCCUGGCAAGUGGAAGGUGAAAUCCCUCGGCUUAACCGAGGAACUGCCCUCCAAACUGCUUGGCUUGAGUCCGGGAGAGGUGAGUGGGAAUUCCCAGUGUAGCGGUGAAAUGCGUAGAUAUUGGGAGGAACACCAGUGGCGAAGGCGGCUCACUGGACCGGAACUGACGCUGAGGCGCGAAAGCGUGGGGAGCAAACGGG